Molecule: long non-coding RNA, 270 nt
Organism: Myotis davidii
Lineage: Eukaryota; Metazoa; Chordata; Mammalia; Chiroptera; Vespertilionidae
Exons: 3
Source: RefSeq, a predicted model, not a curated record
CAGGGCCCUGACAGGAAGGCCAGUGUAAAGGAUUAGCUGAAGAGCGUUUAACGAAGAGGUGAUUUGCAGAGUUAAGAAGCAUGGGAUUUGAAGACCUCUGAUUUUAGAGUUUUAUCAACUCUGCCUCAUUGGAAGUUUUAGAAGCUUUAGGCAUUGUUUAGAACCCCUUGCUGGUGGCCCUCUGGGCUCCAGAGGAAGUCAGAGAGAUUUCCAGAUGGGAGGAUGCCGGACAAGGAUGUGAAGCAACUGGGACUUUCCUACAUUGCUGGC